GAUGAACGCUGGCGGCGUGCUUAACACAUGCCAGUCGAACGGAAAGGCCGAAGCUUGCUUCGGUACUCGAGUGGCGAACGGGUGAGUAACACGUGGGUGAUCUGCCCUGUACUUCGGGAUAAGCUUGGGUAACUGGGUCUAAUACCGGAUAUGACAAUCUCUUGGAUGGGGUUGUGGAAAGCUUUUGCGGUAUGGGAUGAGCUCGCGGCCUAUCAGCUUGUUGGUGGGUAAUGGCCUACCAAGGCGUCGACGGGUAGCCGGCCUGAGAGGGUGUACGGCCACAUUGGGACUGAGAUACGGCCCAGACUCCUACGGGAGGCAGCAGUGGGGAAUAUUGCACAAUGGGCGCAAGCCUGAUGCAGCGACGCCGCGUGGGGGAUGACGGCCUUCGGGUUGUAAACUCCUUUCGCAACCGACGAAGCUUUUGUGACGGUAGGUUGAGAAGAAGCACCGGCUAACUACGUG
RNAcentral lists this ribosomal RNA (465 nucleotides) under uncultured bacterium. RNAcentral describes it as "partial 16S ribosomal RNA". It matches the Rfam family "Bacterial small subunit ribosomal RNA", at positions 28 to 507 of the family's 1533-position model. The record is from RNAcentral.